Heterocephalus glaber (naked mole-rat) is the source of this 1352-nucleotide long non-coding RNA. The record is from Ensembl. NCBI's taxonomy places the organism in Eukaryota, Metazoa, Chordata, Mammalia, Rodentia, Bathyergidae.
CAAAGAUUUCAGAGCCAGGUGGGAGGGUGCGAUGCAAGAGGCUUAUCUCGGGCCUGCAAAGUGAAUAAUUAGUGGCAAGGGCUCCUAAAGAGGCCACGCCCUCAGAGGAAAGGUGGGCUGAGGACAACCUCCUGCUAUCAAAAGCAGAUAGUGAGGGUGCUGGCUUCGGCAGCACAUAUACUAAAAGCAGAUAGUGAGGAAAGAUGUUUUCUUGAGUCUGUGGAGGGCGAUAAAACAUCUCCCCCAGGAGUGGUAGCGUCAGGCUCACCCUCACAGAGGCUUUCGGCCCACAUGUGCAUUCAUUUUGUAGCCCAGAAAAGCUGUUAGUUAGAAAGUCAGUGGUGCCCAGAGCAGCCUAGCAAGAACAAGGGAAAAAUGGAAACAUAGGGACCCAGCAAAUGUGAGCUCACACAGAAAGCAAAAACCUACAAGAAAAGAAACAACCAUGAUUGAGAGGCAGCAGGCACAAUCUGCGACUACAGAGGCCGAAGACCUGACAACUGAUCUCACAGGAUACAGGGUCCCCACUGCCUGGGGACCACAGCACCUAUCAUCAGAGCCCAAGGUCCCUCCAUCCGGGGUUCCAGGUAAACACACAGGGGGAGCAUGACUCGACUGGAGACAAAAACCAAAUGCAUUUCAAGAAGAAAAGGGAGAAAAGGGCAGAGCCUCCUCUGUGAUGAGCAUGGGUACCAUAUUCUCCGCAGAGCAUGGCCCGCCCAGCCCAGCUGCUGUACUAGGCCAGAUACCACAUGUCCCUUCAGGAUGGUGGGAGUACUUAACCCUAGUUCCUGGGAGCCAGGCUGAACAGUUCGACCCCCCAGCUCUGUGUCAUCAUCAGGCCUGCAGCUCAGAUGCAUCUGCCUUCCACCACGGACACAGGCAGUGGCCACAGAGCUCUCAGCUUCCUUGGCAGCCUUCGUUCGGAGUCAUUUUCCUUCAGUGGGCAUCAGCACAGCUCAGUAGUGCCCAGCCAACCUCCUGGUUCUGUGGGCACCACCCCCAUCAUUUUGUGCUUCCAUGGGGCUCUCUUCCCCUGGCCUCCUCUAGUCAUCACCAGUGAAACUGCUGACAACAGAGCCUCCAUCUUGUCUUGGGGGCUGUCCACCCCUGCCCAGUGACCAGGAGGUGGCCUCUUUGUCCCCAAGAGGACCGUCCGAUGUGCCAACAACAAGCCUGCAGAGAUCGCAAUCCUGGGGAGCAGCCCAAAGCUUUGGUGUAAAUGAACCACUGGAUUUCAGCUCUCAUUUGCUGGGCCUUUGGACAAUUCCUCUCCCUACAGCAAGCUCAGUAGGUAUACAAAACACCCUAUGUAACAACUUUUGCCUACAGUCAAAUAAAGAUUGCAGCCC